Molecule: unclassified non-coding RNA, 558 nt
Filed under: Hevea brasiliensis (rubber tree)
Lineage: Eukaryota; Viridiplantae; Streptophyta; Magnoliopsida; Malpighiales; Euphorbiaceae
Source: RNAcentral
AGGAAAAAAAAAAAAAAAGAAAACCCAUUUGUUUCUGGGCUUCUGGGUUCAUGUAGGAAAUGGAAACUUUUAAUUUAAUGGCUUCCUUUGAUGGAAAUUUUGUAGCAUAACCUUGUGAAAUCCUGUAUGCUUCUCUGUUUAUUGCUCUAGUCAUAAACAGACACCUAACCACUAGUCUUGUAAAAAAAAAGACCAGUCAUUUCUAUGGGUUGGGUCUGUAGCAUUGAAUUUGAUGUUGCGUCUGUAGCAUGGUCCAUUAUUGCACUUUUAGGUCUAGAACCUGUCACCUCUAAUCAUUCUUUAAACACUAUAAACUCUAUAAUAUUAAAUAUUUCUAUAAAAAAUAUUUUUCAUAUUUAAAUUAUUUAAAAAAAUAAACGAAUCUUAAUUUAAAAAAUUUAAUUAAAAUUUAUUUUUAACAGUUCUACAAACUGUUUAGGAAUCAUCCUAUACAAAAACAAAUAACAAAUAACCUUUUCAUUUCUUGUAUAUGAAUUGCAGGUUGUGAUGAGUGGUUUGAGAGGAGAAGCAGAAGAAUCACAAAUGUACUCAUCAUAU